UGCCAGACUCCUACGGGAGGCAGCAGUGAGGGAUAUUGGUCAAUGGGGGAAACCCUGAACCAGCAACGCCGCGUGAGGGAAGACGGUUUUCGGAUUGUAAACCUCUGUCCUCUGUGAAGAUAAUGACGGUAGCAGAGGAGGAAGCUCCGGCUAACUACGUGCCAGCAGCCGCGGUAAUACGUAGGGGGCAAGCGUUAUCCGGAUUCACUGGGUGUAAAGGGAGCGUAGACGGCGACGCAAGUCUGGAGUGAAAGCCCGGGGCCCAACCCCGGGACUGCUCUGGAAACUGCGGCGCUGGAGUACGGGAGGGGCAGGCGGAAUUCCUGGUGUAGCGGUGAAAUGCGUAGAUAUCAGGAGGAACACCGGCGGCGAAGGCGGCCUGCUGGACCGUGACUGACGUUGAGGCUCGAGAGCGUGGGGAGCAAACAGGAUUAGAUACCCCAGUAGA
This 448-nucleotide ribosomal RNA is filed under the name uncultured bacterium. Its description in RNAcentral is "partial 16S ribosomal RNA". It matches the Rfam family "Bacterial small subunit ribosomal RNA", at positions 329 to 794 of the family's 1533-position model. The record is from RNAcentral.